AGUAAAAUGGCUGAGUUUGUAAGCGAUAAAUUGUAAAUUUAUUUACGAAAGUUAAUUUCUUUUACUA
This 67-nucleotide transfer RNA is filed under the name Bubas bison. RNAcentral describes it as "tRNA-Tyr". It matches the Rfam family "tRNA". Rfam says of the family: Transfer RNA (tRNA) molecules are approximately 80 nucleotides in length. Their secondary structure includes four short double-helical elements and three loops (D, anti-codon, and T loops). Further hydrogen bonds mediate the characteristic L-shaped molecular structure. tRNAs have two regions of fundamental functional importance: the anti-codon, which is responsible for specific mRNA codon recognition, and the 3' end, to which the tRNAs corresponding amino acid is attached (by aminoacyl-tRNA synthetases). tRNAs cope with the degeneracy of the genetic code in two manners: having more than one tRNA (with a specific anti-codon) for a particular amino acid; and 'wobble' base-pairing, i.e. permitting non-standard base-pairing at the 3rd anti-codon position. RNAcentral also lists the same sequence under 1 other name. The record is from RNAcentral. Lineage: Eukaryota; Metazoa; Arthropoda; Insecta; Coleoptera; Scarabaeidae.